Long non-coding RNA from Xiphophorus maculatus (southern platyfish), 779 nucleotides. RefSeq lists it as uncharacterized. The record is from RefSeq and is a predicted model, not a curated record. The transcript has 3 exons. NCBI's taxonomy places the organism in Eukaryota, Metazoa, Chordata, Actinopteri, Cyprinodontiformes, Poeciliidae.
AGCCUGCGGAAAGGGGCGGUGACGGACCACUGUCAGUCUCAUACCUUAUAUGGAAAUUGGACUAUUACAUUCCGGAAAUGAAGGGGGCGCUAUUUUCACAGUCACUAGUAUAAAUACCUUAAAGAAGCGGGGUAAGAAGUUUGAGAGGUUUCACCACUGACAUUUGCCACGCGAUCCACAAUGCAAAAACCAGGAAGUCAGCAAAAGAUGCACGUAUCAAUUUGUAACACUGGGAUCGGAGCUAAAAUUGUUCCGUACUGCAUGAACAACAAGUACUACUGUCCCCUUUGCUCAUACAGUGCGGAUGAGUCUUACAAGGUUAAGAACCACAUUGCAAGAACUGCUGUGGUUCAACAUAACGAAUUCCAUAUCUUCAGAUGUGGCCUACCAUGUAGAGACACCACUCACUUCCAUUGUCCUUACUGUUUUUCCACCAUUGACAGAAGGGACAGGUUUGUUAAUCAUUUGGUUAAUCACAGAAUGACUUUUCACAUGGUGUCCAGCUGUGCAGCAGCCCAGCCACCUGUCCACCUACCAGCUACAGACAUCCAGGCUACACAGGCGCCUGUCCGUCCAGCAGCUACAGACAUCCAGGCUACACAGGCGCCUGUCCGUCCAGCAGCUACAGACAUCCAGGCUACACAGGCGCCUGUCCGCUCAGAAGAUAUGAUUACAUGUGAAAUGUGCAAUCUGCGCCUGAGAAAAAAGAAUCUUCGUAUUCAUUUGAAAAGAAAACACCAUGAAAAAGUGGAGCUGAUUUCACAAAAUCAUCAUUUAAG